Long non-coding RNA from Lathyrus oleraceus (garden pea), 1119 nucleotides. RefSeq lists it as uncharacterized. The record is from RefSeq and is a predicted model, not a curated record. NCBI's taxonomy places the organism in Eukaryota, Viridiplantae, Streptophyta, Magnoliopsida, Fabales, Fabaceae. The transcript has 2 exons.
CAAUUGCACUUUAGGCACAGUGCAGAUAAACUAACUUAGGAUUGGCACUUAAAGAGCUAUAGUUCCAGUGAGUGGCUUUCCUUUUCACACAUGAUUCUGUUUAUGAAAAGCAAAUCAUAAAUCAGAAGUAGUUUUAAAAAACCGGGUUCUUUUGCUUUAGUUGGGUUUACAUUAUUCUGUUUAUGUCAUUGGAUGUUAUGAAAAACAAAUCAUAAUUCAGAUAUAAAAUUAUACUAGGGUUUUGUGAGUUAUUUUAUUAUAAUAGGUUGAUCUUUUAAGUUUUCUUUUUGUGAUAACUUGAUCAUUUAAGUUAUCAAAUAUGUGCACACCGUUAACUUUUAAAAAAAAUUCCAUUUCAAAAAUAAAUAUGUAGCAUUAACGUGAAUGAAGUGUUACUAACGGUGAUGACAUAUAAUUUUAUAUUUUUUUCGUUAACUAAUUACCAAAAAGCACAUUUUUUCUUCGUUUAAUGAAAAAUUCAGAUCAAAUCCCUAGUUUUAUAUUCUUCUUCUCCAUUUAAAUCUUUCCCCCCUUCUCUAUCAACGGGUUCAUACGGUAUCAAUGAGUCAAAUCCACGAAGUCAGAACUCUCAAUCGUUCAUUUCGAAUGCAAGUCAUGGUGAAGUCGCAUCAAGAUGUCCUUGUGGAGUCAAAGCAAUGAUACGAACAGUUAGGAAGAAAGGACAAAAUUUUGGGAAGCUCUUUUGGGACUGCAGAUACUUUGUGAUGCAAUUAUUUUGAGUGGUAUAAAAAAGAAUGCAAUGAUGAAAUGCAACCAGAAAUACAAGAGUUAUAAAUCUCUAGAUGUUCAAAAUUUGAGAAAAAGGAUGUAGAAAUCAAUACACUUAGAAGGACCAUUAAGAAGAUCCAUGGAGAUGACAACUACACCAUGGAGAUGAUGAAGAAUAUGUUGAAGAUCCUAAUUUUUGUCAUAAUAUUUUUAGUUUUGAUUUUUGUAGUGUUGAUGUGUAUUUUGGUCAAGAAGGGGCGAUUAUGGUUAAUUUUUAUGUUAGUGUUGUAAGACAUGUUGUUAUUGUUAUGCAAUAAUGACUUUGUUAAUGUGGAAUUUUGUCUUUAUUCAAUGUUGAUGUUAGUGUUAUAAGACAUGUUGUUAUUGUUA